AUGUGCUCAGUGUCCUUUUCUCAUAAAUCAUAAUAUCACUGCCUACUCUAUAAUGUUAUACAUUAUACCAUUAUAUUCCUGUGGUACAAACAUUAUCUGACAGUUCUUUUAAGUUUAUUCAAGUAGUUUAAUCAUUUUUUUUCAAGUACGAUAUUUGCCAUUUACAAGUAUUAACAGUAAUUCAUACAUUGGAAUUAUUCGUUGGAGAUCUCGCUCAUAUAGUAGCACGUACAUGUAAACAGUAAAACAGUCACAAAUAGAAUAUAAAUAAAUAUAAAUAGAACAACAACUAAAAGUGCAGUGGUAAGAUUAUAGUAACACUACAGUCAUAAAUGUUAAAGUGUUAAAAACAGCAGUCAGAUAAAAGCUAUUCUUGAACCUGGUAUUCCUGCUGUCCUUCCUCCACACAGUCAGCCUGCCCGACUGUCCUGUACCUCCCUCUGGAUGGCAGCGGUGGCAGAGUAGAGAGAGAAACCGAUGAAGUGUGGAAGUCAUGCUGGUAGCGGAGGAGAGAGUAGAGAGAGACAGGACGGUGCUGUAGGACAUGCUGGUGGCUGGUAGUGGAGUCCAGUAGAGAGUAGAGAGAGACAGGACGGUGCUGUAGGACAUGCUGGUGGCUGGUAGCGGAGGAGAGAGUAGAGAGAGACAGGACGGUGCUGUAGGACAUGCUGGUGGCUGGUAGCGGAGUCCAGUAGAGAGUAGAGAGAGACAGGACGGUGCUGUAGGACAUGCUGGUGGCUGGUAGUGGAGUCCAGUAGAGAGUAGAGAGAGACAGGACGGUGCUGUAGGACAUGCUGGUGGCUGGUAGCGGAGUCCAGUAGAGAGUAGAGAGAGACGACUGUUGCAGCACACAGUGUGUGUUGUCGGGGCGGAUGUAGUGUGUGUGUAGUCGGGGCGGAUGCAUAGUGCGCGUAGUUGGGGCGGCCUUCUGACACUGAGGAAGUAUAAGACUCUUGGCCGCCGAGCCUAAAGGAGCUAAAGCCGCAAUAGAGGUAUUCGGCGGCUUCACUGGCUGUGCUCCCGAUACGCUUCUGGACAGCCACUGACUUGAGAUCUCAAACAAUUCCCUUUGAACCACGCAGCCAUUUUUUCUUUUAAUUUACCUCCAAGAAAAUAGAAAAUAGCAGCAGCUAGGAUGAACACCAAAACAACCACCACCACCAUUGUUGGCCUUCCUGUGUCGUCGCAGUGCUUCUCUUUGGGAGUGACAGUAACAGCUUCUGGAUUUCCUCUCUGGUGGUCAGGGCCGAAGAAACACAGAACAACUUGUCAGGUGGUGCAUUGGAGACUGAUGUGUUCCUGUCCUGUCUUUUCAUAAUACUAUUGCAGAUCAACAUAAAAGCCUAAAAGACAGCCGUGGUGUCGCUCUUCAUUUCUUGGUUCUCCUGUGGUGCAUAAGAGACCCGCUACAUACAUGUAGUUAUUACCAUGCAUGAGAUGCCCACAUUGUAGCCUGUACUUUUAAUAUAUUCACUGAUCAUGUACUUUACCUCGGCAAAUAAAGGUGCAGUUCAGGUAUGAAUGUUUUUGAGAUAAUUUUUCAGUCAUAUCCAAUACCAGGAGGAUCAAAUUCCAGUCUUUGAUGCUGUGUCUGCAUGGAUGUAUUACAUUUAUCCACUUCAACAGUGUUUACAAUCUUUGUCCUGGGACAUCAAUGGUUACAUAUUGUAACUAUGCAAUAGUUUAACUAGUUAAAGGAUGAUUUGUUAUUCAUAUAUACAGAAAUAGAAUUUAAAAAAACUUCUCUCUCUCCCUUCUCUCACCCCCUUCCCUCUCCUCCUCUCCCCCUCACUCCCUUCUCUCUCUCACUUCUCUCUCCCCCCUCCCUCCCUCCCCCUUCUCUCCGUUCUUUCUUCCCCUCUCCCCUUCUCUCUCCGCCUCUCCCCAUUCUCUACCAUCUCACUCUCUCCCCCUUCUCUCUCCUCCUCACUCCCUUCUCUCUCCCCUCACUCCCCAUUUCCCCCUUCUCUGUCCCCCUCUCCCCUUCUCUCUCCCCCUCCUCUCUCCCCCUCUUCCCCUCUCUCACUUUUCUCUCUCCUAUCCCCUCCCUCCAUCCCCCCUACUCUCUCCACCUCUCUCCGUUCUUCUCCCUUCUUUCUCCCCCUCUCCCCCUUCUCUCUCCCCAUUCCCUCCCAUCUCCCUCUCUUCCCCUCUCUCCCUAUCUCCCUCUUCCCCUCUCUCCCUUCUCUCUCCCCAUCUCUUCCCCUCUCUCCCUUCUCCCCAUCUGCCUCUCUUCCCCUCUCUCACUUCUCUCUCCCCUCUCUCCCUUCUUUCUCCCCCUCUCCGCCUCUCCUCCCUCUCUCUGCCCCUCUCCCCCUUCUCUCUCCCCGUUCUCCCUCUCUUCCCCUCUCUCCCUUCUCUCCCUCUCUUCCCCUCUCUCCCUUCUCUCUCCCCAUCUCUUCCCCUCUCCCACUUCUCUCUCCCCCUCUUCCCCUCUCUCACUUCUCUCUCCCCCUCUCUCCCUUCUCUCUCCCCCCUCUAGCUGUUCUCUCCCUUCUUUCUCCCCCUCCUCUCUCCCCCUCUCCCCCUUCUCCCCAUUCUCUCUCUCCCUUCUCUCUCCCCCUCCCUUCCCCUUCUCUUUCCCCCCUCACCCCUCUCUCCCUUCUCUCUCCCCAUCUCUUCCCCUCUCCCCCUACUCUCUCCCCCUCUUCCCCUCUCUCCCUUCUCUCUCCCCCCUCUAGCUGUUCUCCCCCUUCUCUCUCCCCCUCCCUCCCCCUUCUCUCUCCCCCUCUCUCCCUUCUCUCUCCCCAACUCUCCCUCCUCUCUCCACCUCUCCCCUUCUCUCUCCGUCUCUUGCUCCAUCACUUCUACAACCGGUACUUCCAGUAGUGCCGCAUUGAGCUUCAAUGAACAUUUCCAGCUAUCAAAACCACCACCACUACCCCCUGGACCAGCCACGGACUACCCAGGUUUGAUGCCCCAAAGUCCGCCUCCACCUCAUCCACCACCCAUUGAGCCAGUGGAAGCAGUGGAGAGACACCAGUGCUCAACACCCUCUCCCCAGGUUUAGGUGACCCUAGCCAUGCUAGUGAUGGGAAUGGAGGGGCAUCUAUGAUGGAUGCCAGCAUCAUGACUUCCACAAGCUGUCUGUUCAAGCCAAGCCUACCACCACCACCACUUCCACCAAGGGGGGCCCUGUCGUCCGGCCUCUGCCCAUGCUCGGUGAGGGUUCCCAGGCACAGCUCCGGCCACCGAUGGCCUCCCCUUGAUGUCUCUCUCCAACCCCCUCUACAGAGAGUCUAUGAUGACUUCUCACAACUGUGCCAACACAGCCUCCUCCUCUUCCUCCUCUUCCUCCUCUUCCUCCUCCUUCGCUCCAGUCUUCCCUCCAUCCCUGCCCUGCGCUAACUGUGGCUACAUCCAGGGCUCUACAGCCCCCACUACCUCACGGCUGCCCCAAAGAGGACAGGCUAGUCCGGAGAGACUCUACUACCUCCAUCCCCUCUAUAUAUCCACAAAGAGAGAUCUAAAUUGACAAAUAAAGGUGGCCAACAGGGGGCAGCAGAGGCACACCAUUCCAUAACAACAGCUAUACUUGUAGGAGUGUUUACAUUUUGUGAUGUAACCCCAUAAUUAGGUUGGGGGUUUUUUCCCAAAUGGCACCCUACUCCCUAUAUAGUGCACUACUUCUAACCAGGAACCAUGGGGCUCUUGUCAAAGAUAGUACACUAUAUAGGGAAGGUUCUGACAUAUGUAAUAUUACUGCUACAGUAUAUUGGUGGGGCUUACUAUGUGGUUAUCUGGAUCUGUAGCCAGUGGGUGGGGUUUACUAUGUGGUUGUCUGGAUCUGUAGCCAGUGGGUGGGGCUUACUAUGUGGUUAUCUGGAUCUGUAGCCAGUGGGUGGGGUUUACUAUGUGGUUGUCUGGAUCUGUAGCCAGUGGGUGGGGCUUACUAUGUGGUUGUCUGGAUCUGUAGCCAGUGGGUGGGGCUUACUAUGUGGUUGUCUGGUUCUGUAGCCAGUGGCUUGUUAUUGGCUACCCAGAUAUUAACAUAUCAUACAGUAAGUACACUGUAGCCCCCAGGC
RNAcentral lists this long non-coding RNA (4025 nucleotides) under Salmo salar (Atlantic salmon). RNAcentral's name for it is "lncRNA (ENSSSAG00000083789.1)". Lineage: Eukaryota; Metazoa; Chordata; Actinopteri; Salmoniformes; Salmonidae. The record is from RNAcentral.